AUGGCUGACGAGGAUGCCGCGGCCGCGGCGAACCUCGUCGAGGCUGAAGAAGACGGUGGGCCAGCAAUGAUGAUGGCUUGCGUCGAGACCAUGCAGGAGGGCGGAGCACCUCCGGCGACCAUGGUCCUGACAAGCAUCGAAGCCGUGCAGGAGGGCGCAGCACCUCCGGCGACCACGGUGCCGGCAACCGUUAAGUCCGUGCGGGAGGCACGGAGCUCUUCAAGUAAUCCCCUCCCCACAUCGGUAGCGCUCUCCCCGACAACAACGUUCUCGGGAGAUUUCGAUUGGGAGGAGAUGAAGACCCGGGUGUGGGGGAGCCACACCCCGGCAACCACGUCCCUUGUGACGCUGGUCAAGCCCGUGCAAGUUGGCACGGCAAUCGCGGCCCCGACAUCCUCGGGACCCGACAAGCCCGUGCAAGUUGGCAUGGUAAAGGCGUACCCGACAUCCUCGGGACCCAAUAAGCCCGUGUCAGGAGGCACGGCAACGACGCAUAUGGUGGGCCAUGUCCCAACCAUGAUGCUGGUGACCAGUGAGACCGUGCAAGAGGCACGACACUCUCAGGUCGGCCAUACCCCGACAACCAGGUUCUCGGGGUUCUGCAAGCCCGUGUGGGCAACACGGCACUCUUCGACGGGCCUCAACAGCUGGGAGGCCAUGAAGAGACGGUCAUGGGGCGGCAAGGCCUCGACCGUGACUCUGGCGACCAUCGAGGCUGUGCAGGAGGCGCGGUGCUCUAUGGUCAGCCACGCAGCAACCCUGACGCGCUCGGGGUCCAUCGAGUCCGUGCGGGAAGCACGACUUACGUUUGUCGGGGGAGACCCGACAAGCAAGUCUGAUGGGAAGAGCAGCAAGGACUCCGCUACCCUGAGAGGAACCACUCCGGUCAGUGUGACGUCCGGCACAACGACCCUGGGAAGGGAGUUCCCGGGCAGUGCGGCGUCCGGCACGACGACCCCAGGAAGGGAAUUCCUGGGUAGUCCGAUGUCCGACAAGUCAUCCCCGGGAAGGGAGUUCCCGGGUAGCGUGACGUCCGACACGACGACCCCGGGAAGGGAGUUCCCGGGCAGUGUGACAUCAGGAACUACGACCCCAGAAACACUGACGCCCACGAGCGAGGUGGUUCCCGGGCAGUUCAUGUCCCCAUCAACAGCGCGGUCAGACUUGUUCGAUGCCAACAAAAAUGGUGGCGAUCCACACAGGUUCCGAAGCCUAGGGGGACCUUCUCGAGCCCGCGAGACGAUCGCAGCACCCGAGAUCAAGAAGCACGAACAGGGCAUACGGGCCGCCGAGAAGGCGGACAUCCCAACGAAGGCACUUGGUUGCAUCGAGUUCCAAGAGCCGCACGACAGGACCGGGAUCAUCAAGACCCUCCUACAGGUUUGA
This 1386-nucleotide ribosomal RNA is filed under the name Triticum aestivum (bread wheat). RNAcentral's name for it is "partial small subunit ribosomal RNA". The record is from RNAcentral. Lineage: Eukaryota; Viridiplantae; Streptophyta; Magnoliopsida; Poales; Poaceae.